UCCCAACAGUGAGGUUGCCUGGGCUCUCUU
RNAcentral lists this non-coding RNA (30 nucleotides) under Rattus norvegicus (Norway rat). The record is from RNAcentral. Lineage: Eukaryota; Metazoa; Chordata; Mammalia; Rodentia; Muridae.